GUGUCCAGGCACUGUGUAAGGCAUUGAGCAUCCACUGGUGAGGGAGAUGAGGAAUAAGUAAAUGUAAAAUAAACUUGCAUGAUAUUUACAAAGUAUGAAAAGUCCCAUGAAGCAAAUAAUGAGUAAAAGUAAAGACUAAAGUUUUAUUUACAGGCCUCCUAAUCCCACCAAAGGGCCCAGUAUUCCCAGAUUACUAUUUUUUUUUCUGCUUAAACAAUGGAAAUUUAUUUCUCAUAGUUCUGGAGACUGAGAAGUCCAAGAUCAAAGCACCAGCAGACCCAGUGUCUGAUUAGGGCACUCUUUCUGGUUUGCAGACAGUUGCCUUCUCAUUUCCUCACAGGGCAGAGAGAGACAGACUUGUAAGGGCACCAACUCCCUUCAUGAAGGCCUUACCCACAUGGCCUAAUUACCUCCGAAAGGGAGAGUAUUGGGGAUUAGGAUUUCAACAUAUGAAUUUUGGAGAGACACAUUUGGUCUAACUUUCUUCCCCUUCCUUUUCAAAUGCAAACUACAUUAAUUCCAACCCAACAGUUCUCAAAUUCUUAACCUGUUCCAGUAUCAACUAUAAAGUCUAAAGCCCAAAGUAUCAUCCAAAAUAUCCUCUAAAUGAGAUAUAGGUGAGAGUGAGGUAGACUCAUCCUGAGGCAAACUGCUCAGCUGUGAACCUGUGGAACCAGACAAUUUAUGUGCUUCCACAAAAAUACAGUGCUGAGACAGGCACAGGACAUUCCCAUUCCAAAAGAGAGAAGUAGAAUAGAAGGAAGGGGUAAUGGAUCCCAAGUAAGUCUAAAACCCCCAAGGCCAAUUACCUGAACUCUUAAGAAUAAUCCUGUUUGGCUCAAUGCUCUGCUUUCCAGACCCACUGGGGUGGCAGGCCAGUCUCCACCUCAGAAAGGUGUGGUGGAGGGGGGGGGGGUAUCCAGCAUGCCUGAGGCUCCAGGAAGCCCUACCCCAUGUAAGAUCACUCUCUGUCCCUUUCAUAAGCCCAUCUUAAAUCAUUCAUAUUUUUUUUAGGGUAUAGAUUUUUGUUGUUGUUGUUGUUGUUAAUUUAAAAACACCUCUUAAUGGUAGAAUCUUAUUUACUGGAAAAGCAUUGCAAAUAAGGAAAUCUUGAGAUCUAGAGGAAUCUAUGUGGCAAAGAUUCAGCUUAAACAAGUCCUCAGGAUGGCUUCCAUUCCUUCUGGUUCUUGAGCUAAUCCCAGGGGUGUUUAGUAUUUUUUUUUUAAUCUUUGACAGGAGUUAUACUUAGUGUAUAUGUCUUAAUUUAUGCAUUUAUUUAUCUUUUAAUAGGUCCAGAACUGCUGAAGACUCACAUCUUGGAUAAUGAGAGACCUAUGGCUUUACAAAUAACUCAAUGGAUAUCUGUCUUCUCCAUGAGGCUGAAGACUGAAGGAAUCACAUCUGUCUUUUGAUUUUUAAAUCCCCAGUGUCUAGCAGAGCGCUUGAUAUGUGGUAGAAGCUCAUUAUAUAUUGGUUGAGUAAAUGCAUGAAAAAAAAAAAUAGAAUACCCAUACUCAAGGAUGUUUUGGCUUAGAAUUGAUUCACUAUCUCAAAUGCAGCUGGAUUGUUGCCAUUGAUUUCUAGGGAUAUUUUAGCCUGAUGAGUGAAAAAGCUUGAGGGGGCACUUGUUUCCAAAAAAGAUCUAAUUUAUCCUCUUCCCUUCCAUUCCUGACCAGUUUGCAACUUCUUUUCACCAUAUGCAAUCCUUAUUAAGUUUAAAAAGUCUCAGAAUUUCCUAGUAGCUUGAUACUUUCAAAUAUAACUCCUAUCAUAGGAAAUAUUAGAAAAAUUAUAGAAUGUACCCCUGCCCUCCCCCCACCACCUUCUUUUGAGACCUACUACCUUUCUUCUUUAGGUUGCAAUCUGGAUUUCUCAAAAGUCUGCUAAAGUUUUAUUUGGCCUAUAGUUUGCAUGGAUCCUCCCCACAUGUUUUCUACCCCACCCUCAAAUAAGGCCAACACAGGUUGACUUUUGCUUAAGCUAAUUUUCAUCUCUGUGCAAUAAUUAAAAUUUAUUCACCAGAGAUUAUGACCAAUAAACACCACUAACUUUAAACCAUAUCCUUACUCCUGUCCAAUACAUCCCAAAGUUUGUUGAGUUGACGAGUAUUAAUUUAUUCAUUCAUGUUCCCACUUGUGCAUCUAAAUUUAGACACAUUUAUUUGGUCAUAGGAAAAUUAUAGUGAGAGAAAGGUUAGGGUGUAAUGGAUUAAACAUGCAACAUUUAGGUUUUAAGGAAAUUCUUCAAAUACUAACCCAACCAAGAACUCAAGCACAGGAUCAGUGUCAUUAGUUAGAACGAGCGAAUAGACAAUGAGCUGACCAAUUAUAAAGAUUAUUCUUGAAUUUUAUAAUGAAAUACUCUUUGCUUCUUGUCCAUAUCCUUAGUAAAAUUGUACGGAGACUGCAGAGCAGGUGCUCAACAGGACUGAGAUGACAGAGACAUGGGAGACCACAAUAAUGUGCAGCUUCCCUGGCUCUCAGCUGAAGGAGAGAAGAUCUCCUCAGGAAGAAGUUUAACACCUGGGGAAAAAAGAGGAUGUGGAUCCAAACUGAAUACCAGGCUUUAUAUACCUGUCUGAGCCUCAGUGUCAUAACCUAUAAAAUGAACAUAUUGAGUUGAUGUAACAAAUAAAUGCUCUUAUCUCAGUACUUACUGUAUAUUUAAACACUAUGACUUGGUGCCAUUAUAAUGAUUAUUAUUCCUUUUGUUAAUAAUAGCCAUCCUUUGGGGCACCUGGUUCUCUCAGUCUAUUGGG
Molecule: long non-coding RNA, 2758 nt
Organism: Leopardus geoffroyi (Geoffroy's cat)
Lineage: Eukaryota; Metazoa; Chordata; Mammalia; Carnivora; Felidae
Exons: 4
Source: RefSeq, a predicted model, not a curated record